GUUGUAGUUUUUAUUUUUGAUUUGAAUACCUACUUUCUGGAUAUCAUGUCGCGGAUUAAAAAGCCUCCAGUUAUUAAAAAUAAGAAUAUCAUAACGAGCCAACUGACUACUUGCAAAUAUACAAGAGCUCUCACUGCUGGGACAUAAUCCGGAAAAAGGAAACAAGUAAAAAAUUAGUUUUCAUCAAAAUCAUAAGCAUAAAUUACCAAUGGAACUGCUUGUUAUCCUCCAGAACUAUAAAAUUACUAUUAAGUCACUGCAGUUUGAUGAGCAUCUACAUCGGUCAUCGCUUGCAACAUACAAUAAGGAGAAACGAGUUGCAUUUUAACUGUUCGGAACCUGCUGACAACUUUUGUUCUCACUCAACAUGGAAAGAACGAUCCUAAAUAUUGCAUGUUGCAGAAACAAAAACCAAUCAUUACUGUCGUCGAUUGGAAUUUUCAAAAGUUUUGAAAAUGCGUGCGUAAAUUUGUUGAUUAGAUGAACAGGACAAUGACCGGAUCUGUGAAGCAAUUUGACACCGGAAGCAGGCUGAUUAUUGCAUAAAUGAAUGAUAAAUAUGACUGUAAGAGAAGUCGUUUUUUGAUUUUCUUAAGGUGAACUUUUUCUUUUAUAGGUGUAUUAUCGUAAAUUUUUGUCUCAAUGACU
Long non-coding RNA from Uranotaenia lowii, 648 nucleotides. RefSeq lists it as uncharacterized. Lineage: Eukaryota; Metazoa; Arthropoda; Insecta; Diptera; Culicidae. The record is from RefSeq and is a predicted model, not a curated record. The transcript has 3 exons.